This 78-nucleotide small RNA is filed under the name Mesoflavibacter zeaxanthinifaciens subsp. sabulilitoris. Its description in RNAcentral is "Flavo-1 RNA". It matches the Rfam family "Flavo-1 RNA". Lineage: Bacteria; Pseudomonadati; Bacteroidota; Flavobacteriia; Flavobacteriales; Flavobacteriaceae. The record is from RNAcentral.
UUUUACCCGCGUUAGCGAUAGUAGUGACAUCCUUUUUUGAGGUACGAGAAAAAGAUAUAACGAAUAGCGCGACGCUUU